GGCAAGCCAUGUGGGGAAAUAUCUCCAUCCAGAAGACCCUCUUCUUCAAUUGCGUCAAACUCCUUCAAUGGCUUCCGGCUGACUUUAUGGUUGGAUCCAUCAGUCUUGCGGUGGGGCUUGAGGGAACCAGAGAAGCGAGUAGAGGAGGACUCCCGGGAAUGAGGCCCUAAGGAAGAGUUGGAGUGGGAGUGAGGAGGCGACCCCACGGGGCUAAGAACUGGAGUGGAGUGGAAGGAGUUUGUGGUUUUCUCGCCAUCAUGAGAGUCCCUUGAUGGGCUUUGCACGUAGUAUACAGGGAGGCGAGGCGGGGAUGAUCUUGUAGGAGAUGACUGAGUUAGGCUGCUUACCUCCGAGUCUGUCUUCGAUAGCUGAGCUGACAUUGCUAAUUAGUUUGAUAAAUUGAAGAAAAUGCUGUUGAUUGGAACUGAUGGGUAUUACAGAUUUUUGCAGAGGAGAUGGGCAAGUGAAGAGGGAGAAAGUAGUUUGUUUGAUUUUUUU
RNAcentral lists this unclassified non-coding RNA (498 nucleotides) under Hevea brasiliensis (rubber tree). Lineage: Eukaryota; Viridiplantae; Streptophyta; Magnoliopsida; Malpighiales; Euphorbiaceae. The record is from RNAcentral.